Molecule: long non-coding RNA, 851 nt
Organism: Ailuropoda melanoleuca (giant panda)
Lineage: Eukaryota; Metazoa; Chordata; Mammalia; Carnivora; Ursidae
Exons: 5
Source: RefSeq, a predicted model, not a curated record
UGACCAUUUGGAUUAGAACAAAAGCAUCAGCACCCAUGGCCAUGGAUUCAAAGGAGAGGAUAUCAAAUCUUCAAACCAAAGAAAGCUCCUACCUCACGAAAGAAAGCUACACCAAAUCUUAUUUUCACCCUGGUAUUUUGGGCUCUUGCAGGAUAAGAAGUCAGAGAAACUUGUGUAUUACUACCAAAAAGUCUGGAGUAAGAGCUACAGCUUUUGGUUUGCAGUGAUUUAGAAUCAUAUGAAGAUCCGAUUUCUUUGCUUCUAGGCUGGGCAGGAAUAUUGCCUGAGAACAAAGACCACAGAGAAGAAAAGUGAUCAAGGGAUGGAGAAAACAGACUGAAUCCCAGUGACAUCUUUACGAAACUGAGGGCACAUCUGCCAUUGGACUGCUCACGUUUGUGAAAUAACACAUUCAUUGUUUCCGUCCAAGCUGAUACUAUUGCAGACCCUGAAUGUGUAUCAGUGAAGGAGACACACAAAACGUGCCUACUGUCCUCAUGGAGCUAACAUUUCUACAGGUGAAAUUGUGGGAUGCCUGCAUGAAUCAGUGAUAUUUACUAUGAUAAACUGCCUUUGGACUCAAACUGCAACUUUCUUGACUAUUCGGCCAGACAGCCUCCUCCAGCAGAUUUUAGAUUCCCUGGGCCUCCACAAUUACACAAGCCAAUUCCUCAAAAUGAGCCAAUCCUAUUGAUUCUGUUUCUCUAGAAAACCCUGACUAAUUCAGGACCAUCCAAGUUGGAGCGCCCAACCCAGGUCUUCUCUCAGAAAAAGAGGCUUUUAUCCUCAUUUGUUCCUUCUGCUGACUCAAGAGAGAGAGAGCACAAGCAGGGGGAGCAGCAGAGGAAGAA